Molecule: ribosomal RNA, 253 nt
Filed under: uncultured bacterium
Lineage: Bacteria
Description: partial 16S ribosomal RNA
Rfam family: Bacterial small subunit ribosomal RNA
Source: RNAcentral
UACGUAGGGACCAAGCGUUGUUCGGAUUUACUGGGCGUAAAGGGCGCGUAGGCGGCGCGGUAAGUCACUUGUGAAAUCUCUGAGCUUAACUCAGAACGGCCAAGUGAUACUGCAGUGCUAGAGUGUGGAAGGGGCAAUCGGAAUUCUUGGUGUAGCGGUGAAAUGCGUAGAUAUCAAGAGGAACACCAGAGGCGAAGGCGGCUCACUGGACAGUUACUGACACUCAACUACGAAAGCGUGGGGAGCAAACAGG